Molecule: long non-coding RNA, 209 nt
Filed under: Ananas comosus (pineapple)
Lineage: Eukaryota; Viridiplantae; Streptophyta; Magnoliopsida; Poales; Bromeliaceae
Description: long non-coding RNA (ACOM_LNC036671)
Source: RNAcentral
AUAUUACUCACCUAAUAUAUAUUAAGGGCGUGUUUGGUUCGAAGUCGGAAUCGGAAUCAGAAUCAGAAUCGAAAUAAGCUAGAAUUGGAAUCGGAAUGACUCAUUAUCUAAUUCUGUUUGGUUCGUUACCUGAAUCGGAAUUGGAAUAAAUCAUUCUCAUUAUCGGUGUUUGGUUCAGCUAGAUAUAAAAAACGUAAUCAAAUUAAUAU